Molecule: small nuclear RNA, 119 nt
Organism: Salvia splendens (bonfire salvia)
Lineage: Eukaryota; Viridiplantae; Streptophyta; Magnoliopsida; Lamiales; Lamiaceae
Product: U5 spliceosomal RNA
Exons: 1
Source: RefSeq, a predicted model, not a curated record
AGCCACUCGUUGAGCACAUAGCGAACUAUUCUUUCGCCUUUUACUAAAGAAUACCGUGUGCUCGUUGCAUUUAAGUGGCAUACACCAUUUUUUGGAGGGAUCUUCCUUUCUAGGGAGGC